RNAcentral lists this non-coding RNA (45 nucleotides) under Schistosoma margrebowiei. The record is from RNAcentral. Lineage: Eukaryota; Metazoa; Platyhelminthes; Trematoda; Strigeidida; Schistosomatidae.
AUCCGGCCGACGAGUUUCAAAUAUGACGAAACGCACGUCUUGUAU